RNAcentral lists this ribosomal RNA (543 nucleotides) under bacterium CH311c_11T. Its description in RNAcentral is "bacterial SSU rRNA". It matches the Rfam family "Bacterial small subunit ribosomal RNA", at positions 59 to 612 of the family's 1533-position model. The record is from RNAcentral.
CAGUCGAACGCUGAAGCACAGCUUGCUGGUGUGGAUGAGUGGCGAACGGGUGAGUAAUACGUGAGUAACCUGCCCUUGACUCUGGGAUAAGCCCGGGAAACUGGGUCUAAUACUGGAUGCUACAUGUCACCGCAUGGUGGUGUGUGGAAAGGGUUUACUGGUCUUGGAUGGGCUCACGGCCUAUCAGCUUGUUGGUGAGGUAAUGGCUCACCAAGGCGACGACGGGUAGCCGGCCUGAGAGGGUGACCGGCCACACUGGGACUGAGACACGGCCCAGACUCCUACGGGAGGCAGCAGUGGGGAAUAUUGCACAAUGGGCGAAAGCCUGAUGCAGCGACGCCGCGUGAGGGAUGACGGCCUUCGGGUUGUAAACCUCUUUCAGCAGGGAAGAAGCCACAAGUGACGGUACCUGCAGAAGAAGCGCCGGCUAACUACGUGCCAGCAGCCGCGGUAAUACGUAGGGCGCAAGCGUUGUCCGGAAUUAUUGGGCGUAAAGAGCUCGUAAGCGGUUUGUCGCGUCUGCUGUGAAAGCCCGGGGCUUAA